This 389-nucleotide unclassified non-coding RNA is filed under the name soil metagenome. Its description in RNAcentral is "partial contains 5.8S ribosomal RNA, internal transcribed spacer 2, and large subunit ribosomal RNA". The stretch from base 1 to 122 matches the Rfam family "5.8S ribosomal RNA", at positions 35 to 154 of the family's 154-position model. The record is from RNAcentral.
GAUGAAGAACGUAGCGAAAUGCGAUACUUGGUGUGAAUUGCAGAAUCCCGCGAAUCAUCGAGUUUUUGAACGCAAGUUGCGCCCGAAGCCAUUCGGCCGAGGGCACGUCUGCCGGGGUGUCACGCAUCGUUGCCCCCCCAAACUCCGGUUCGGGCGGGGCGGAAGUUGGCCUCCCGUGCGUGCCUGCGCGCGCGGUUAGCCCAAAAGCGAGUCCUCGGCGAUGAGCGCCACGACAAUCGGUGGUUUUUUUACCCUCGUUCCUCGUCGUGCGUGCCCCGUCGCCCGAACGCGCUCUUGCAACCCUUACGCGUCGCCUCGGUGGCGCUCCCAACGCGACCCCAGGUCAGGCGGGACUACCCGCUGAGUUUAAGCAUAUCAAUAAGCGGAGA